GCUUCUGGGAAGGAUGGUACCAGAACAGAAAGGCUGUGUUGCAGGUGGUGUAAGUGAAGUCUCAAGGUGUGUGUCUGAUAUUGGUAACUAUGAGAUACAAACCUGUGCACUUAGCACCUCCCUUUCUCACCUAAAUGGCUCUAAAGCUGCUGGUCAGUGUCCCUGCUGUUGUCAUGCUAGGAUCUUGGUAGGAGGUCAUCUGUGUCUCUGUGUCUGUGUGUUUGUGAAUUAGUGUCCUGUACCUGCUUUAAAUCACUGCUGAGAUGGGGUUUUGCAGUGCUUGCUUGUGGAAUUAGAUUGAGACCACCCAAUCAGCAAUUUAGAAAGCAGGCAGGGCAUUUGGGACAAAGUGGACACUUCUGGCAUGAGCUUCACCAUUUUACAUUGCAGCAUGGAAAUAAAUCCAACAUUGCCACAACAGAAACGUUUAUAUGAGAAGAGUGAUUAAGCUCUGUGCAUUUGUGUGAAGGGCUUUACUGCAAAAGUGGAAGGUUUUCUGUGACAGAGUAUAACAGAACUGUGUAGGUUUUUUUUCUUUCAGAUUCCUCCCAGCAUGAGUUGUCAGAACCAGGUGUGAAACCUGAAGUUGAGGUCACCCUUGAAGCUGAUGAUGGUGAUGACAACCUACCUCCUGACAAGAAGCUGAAGAAAAUUGAGUCUGGUAGUGAAGCUGCCAAUACUGGAAGAAGAACAGAAGUGUGCAGUUCCGAUUCCUCCCUGCAUGACUUCUCAGUGAUAGGAGACAGACCUGAGCUUGAAGUCACUGUUGAAGGUCAGCUCUUGUGGUCAUUGAUUUCAGCUGGUUGGGCAUUUUUUAUCAAAAUGUGCUUGCCAUACCCUACAGUUCUUGGCACUGAAGGAAGAGAGUUAUUGUGCCCAUGUUUGCAUUGUGCACUGCUUGGUAAACGUGCCUGGUGGAGAAGUAUUAGAAAACCAGAAUAUACUGAAGCAUGUUGGAGUUACUGGGCUUGUAUUAAAUGGUACCAGAGAGCAGAUUGCAUCCUUUGCAUAUUUUUCACGCAUUGGUAAUGAAAAAUAGUCAUUGAAUGGACCAGAUGUUCUAACAUUGAUUCAUUCUGGAGAGCACAUUGCUUUAUCAACUCCCUCUAGUUAUAUGUGUGACAUUUGUAGUUAGCACAGGCUUCUGGGAAGGAUGGUACCAGAACAGAAAGGCUGUGUUGCAGGUGGUGUAAGUGAAGUCUCAAGGUGUGUGUCUGAUAUUGGUAUGAGAUACCAAUUAAAUACUAUGAGAUACAAACCUGUGCACUUAGCACCUCCCUUUCUCACCUAAAUGGCUCUAAAGCUGCUGGUCAGUGUCCCUGCUGUUGUCAUGCUAGGAUCUUGGUAGGAGGUCAUCUGUGUCUCUGUGUCUGUGUGUUUGUGAAUUAGUGUCCUGUACCUGCUUUAAAUCACUGCUGAGAUGGGGUUUUGCAGUGCUUGCUUGUGGAAUUAGAUUGAGACCACCCAAUCAGCAAUUUAGAAAGCAGGCAGGGCAUUUGGGACAAAGUGGACACUUCUGGCAUGAGCUUCACCAUUUUACAUUGCAGCAUGGAAAUAAAUCCAACAUUGCCACAACGGAAACGUUUAUAUGAGAAGAGUCAUUAAGCUCUGCAUAUAUGUAAUGUUAUUUACCCCAAAAUUAGAAGUGUUCUGGAAAAGUUUUCUGUGACAGAGUAUAACAGAGCUGUAUAGGUACAGUGUAUGUGAAUAUCUGCUAAUGUUCUUGCUAAGUAAACCAUACCCUUGGUGACACGGUUACAUGUUUUUCUGUAUGUGAAAUUCAUUUUCUUUAUCUGCUCUAACCAUUUGUUUUCUCUGAGGCUGGAGGUAUUGAUAAUUGGGCAGUGUGCAAAGCUCAAUACCAUAGGAAGAUAGGGAUGGAUUGGGAAAUGAGUGUCUAAGUAGCAGCUCUCUGAGAGAUUGCUGGGUUUGCUGCUCUCCUGUCUGUCCUCUUGUGUGUGUUUAAGCUAGAGUUGACCUGUUAGAUGAAUUUUAUUGGCACCCAUUAGUUUUAAAGUGCUUUGAAAGUGGGUCUAGAAGAUUUGAGCUCUUUGAGACAAAACUGAGGUAGUGUCUUUUGAGAUCUGCUGGUGGGAUGAUGUUACUUCCAGUUGGAUAAAAAUGGUAGUCCCUAUCUGCACAAUUUAUUUUGUGAUUCCUUUUGGUCUUUCAUGAUUGUUUACUGAUCAUGCAAUGUCCAGCCAUGUUUCAGAAGACAGUGUUGUUUUUCUUAGGAAGUGCAGAAGCAGGUUGGG
Molecule: long non-coding RNA, 2255 nt
Filed under: Ficedula albicollis (Collared flycatcher)
Lineage: Eukaryota; Metazoa; Chordata; Aves; Passeriformes; Muscicapidae
Description: lncRNA (ENSFALG00000026354.1)
Source: RNAcentral